Molecule: ribosomal RNA, 754 nt
Filed under: uncultured marine haptophyte
Lineage: Eukaryota; Haptophyta
Description: bacterial SSU rRNA
Rfam family: Bacterial small subunit ribosomal RNA
Source: RNAcentral
ACCAUUGGGCGUAAAGCGUCUGUAGGUUGUUUAAUAAGUCUGUUGUUAAAGACUAGGGCUUAACCCUAGAGAAGCAAUGGAAACUACUAGACUUGAGUAUGGCAGGGGUAGAGGGAAUUUCUAGUGUAGCGGUGAAAUGCGUAGAUAUUAGAAAGAACACCGGUGGCGAAAGCGCUCUACCGGACCAUUACUGACACUCAGAGACGAAAGCUAGGGUAGCAAAAGGGAUUAGAUACCCCUGUAGUCCUAGCCGUAAACGAUGGAUACUAGAUGUUGUGUUUAAUAUGCAGUAUCGUAGCUAACGCGUUAAGUAUCCCGCCUGGGGAGUACGCUCGCAAGGGUGAAACUCAAAGGAAUUGACGGGGGCCCGCACAAGCGGUGGAGCAUGUGGUUUAAUUCGAUGCAACGCGAAGAACCUUACCAGGACUUGACAUACUGCAAAUUUCUUUGAAAAAAGGAAGUGCCUUCGGGAAUGUAGAUACAGGUGGUGCAUGGCUGUCGUCAGCUAGUGUCGUGAGAUGUUGGGUUAAGUCCCGCAACGAGCGCAACCCUUAUUUUUAGUUACUAAUUAAUUAGGUUUUCUAGAAAGACUGCCGGUGACAAACCGGAGGAAGGUGAGGAUGACGUCAAGUCAGCAUGCCCCUUAUGUCCUGGGCUACACACGUGCUACAAUGGUUAAAACAAAGGGUCGCGAGCUUGUGAGAGUCAGCUAAUCCCAUAAAUUUAGCCUAAGUUCAGAUCGUAGGCUGCAACU